Molecule: RNA transcript, 4327 nt
Organism: Ricinus communis (castor bean)
Lineage: Eukaryota; Viridiplantae; Streptophyta; Magnoliopsida; Malpighiales; Euphorbiaceae
Gene name: serine/threonine-protein kinase CTR1
Exons: 16
Source: RefSeq, a predicted model, not a curated record
AGCUUAUUCGCUCUUAUGAUAAGAAAAAAAGAAAAAGAAUAAUAAUAAUGUAUUAACCAUAUAAAUAUAAAUGUAAAGAGUGAGAGUCCUGUCCACUUCAAUUUCUCCAGUGUCUUAUUGUCCAAUGGAGUACGGUUACUGGUCCGGUGAAACAACCGGAACUGCACAAACGGCGACGUUUAGUAGGUGGGUGCAGCAAACAGAAGAGAGUUACCAGUUACAGUUAGCUUUAGCUUUGAGGUUAUCAUCGCAAGCUGCUUUAGCUAAUGAUUCAAAUUUCUUGGAUUUCAAAUCCAAUGAUCAUGAUCAUUAUCAUCAACUUUCUUCUUCCUCUAAUUCUGCUGAAUCUGUUUCUCAUCGAUUUUGGGUGAAUGGAUGUCUGAGUUACUAUGACAGAAUCCCAGACGGGUUUUAUGUAAUUCAUGGAGUGGAUCCUUAUGCUUGGACUAUAAGUAUAGACCAAAAAGACAUUGGCUUGAUCCCAUCUUUUGAAUCUUUAAAAGCUCUUGAUCCUCGUGAUGAUUUGUCAGUAAAUGUUGUUUUGAUAGACAGAUUUAGGGAUCCUAGUUUAAAGGAGCUAAGUAAUAGAGUUAUUAAACUUUCUAGUAACUGGAUAACUACAAAAGAUGCGAUUGAUCAGCUUGCUGAUCUCGUCUGUAAUCGUAUGGGGGGUGUAACUUCUACUGAACAGAAUACUUUUGAUAUGUGCUGGAAGGAAUGCACUGAAAUCUUGAGAAACCGUUUAGGAUCAGUUGUGCUUCCCAUUGGAAACUUACCAGUUGGCCUCUGUGUCCAUCGUGCCCUACUGUUCAAAGUAUUAGCAGACUCGAUUAACUUACCAUGCAGAAUUGCUAAAGGCUGUAAACACUGUAGAAGAGAUGUUGCUGCAUCUUGUCUUGUACAAGUUGGUAGCGAGAGGGAAUAUUUGGUUGAUUUGUUUGGCAAGCCAGGAACAUUAAGCCAGCCUGAUUCAUCACUCAAUCGUACUUCUUCAAUCUUAGUUUCUUCGCCAUUAUCCCAUCCAAGUUUUAAAUCUCUCCAAACAGCUGAUGAUCUCAGGACAUUGGCCAAACACUUCUUCAUUGAUUCCCAGUUACUUAACUUAGCAUUUGAUGAUACUCCCUCAGGUACUAUUGACCAAGAUGACAAAAAUAGUAAAACAGUCAUUAAAGACAACAAGAACCUUAUACCUAAUUCAAGCAAUAGCCAUGACGCUUCAACGCCACCUCUGCUUAAAAGAGUUGCUGGGAACAUCACCAAUGCCAGUGGUCUUCAUGCUGUAAAUUCAUCUAGUAAAUCAAAUAGCUUGUCCAAAGAUCUAAUUCUGCCAAAUCCGGCUCUUCCAAUUAUGCAUAGGGAUCCAUAUUCAAUUUCUGUUACUUCCAAUCCAAAACCUGAUGCGACAAAUAACCAGUUGUUCUUGGAUGCAAAUCAGUCAUUCGUAAGUAGAUCAAGUAGCGAACUUCACCUUGAAGAGGAAGAUUUGGACAUUCCAUGGAGUGAACUAGUUAUUAAAGAGAAAAUUGGAGAAGGUUCCUUCGGAACUGUCCAUCGUGCUGACUGGCGUGGUUCAGAUGUCGCUGUCAAAAUUCUCAUGGAACAAGAUUACCAUGCAGAGCAUUUCAAUGAAUUUUUGCGUGAGGUUACAAUCAUGAAACGUUUGCGGCAUCCAAACAUUGUUCUCUUUAUGGGUGCUGUUACUCAGCCUCCAAAAUUCUCCAUAGUUACAGAGUAUUUGUCAAGGGGUAGCUUGCAUAAACUCUUGCAUAUGCCUGAUGCUCGAAUUAUACUAGAUGAAAAACGUCGCUUGAAUAUGGCAUAUGAUGUGGCAAAGGGUAUGAACUACCUUCAUCAGCUUAGACCUCCCAUUGUUCAUCGAGAUUUGAAGUCUCUUAAUCUCUUAGUGGACAGUCAGUAUACAGUAAAGGUUUGUGAUUUUGGUUUAUCCCGUUCAAAAGCAAAAACAUAUCUUUCAUCAAAAACUGCAGCUGGGACUCCUGAGUGGAUGGCACCGGAAGUUCUUCGUAAUGAGCCAUCAGAUGAGAAAUCAGAUGUUUAUAGCUUUGGUGUAAUCUUGUGGGAGCUUAUGACCCUUCAACAACCUUGGAGAAGUUUGAAUCAAGCACAGGUUGUAGCAGCUGUUGGUUUUAAGAAUCAAAGGCUUGAAAUUCCAAACAAUAUAAAUCCUUCAGUGGCUGCCUUAAUUGACAGAUGCUUGACUUCUGAGCCCUCAAAACGUCCAUCAUUUUCAUAUAUUAUGGAAACCUUGCAGAAAGUGAUCAAGAACUCCGUGUCUCAACCAGUUAAUUUUCAAAUUACAUGACAAAUUUCUCAGAGUGGAACUCCAGUUGAAUAUCUUAUACAAUUUGCCAUCCGUUGGAUGCCCAUCUGGUUUAUCUUUCAGUUCUUCAGGAAUUAGCCAUUCAAUGGCUCUAUCACUCAGCAGGUGUCAACAUUUCAGCCCAUUAGAGUGGUAGAUGUCUAUGUUAAUGUACAUGCUACCAGGGAGUAUUUGGUUAAUUUGUUUGGAAAGCUUGGAAUGAUAGAUCAGAUUGAUUUGUCACUCAAUUGUACUUCUUCUAUCUCAGUGUCUUUGCCAUUAGGGUGUUGGAAAAAAAAAUUAUGAAUUCAGUAUGGCGUCAAAAACUCUUAGAUUGCCAGUCACAAAAAUUUUACGCCUGAUGAUUUGCUCAGGUGAUUCCUUGUUAAACAGCAUGUAUCGUCUUGUAGUAUGUUCAAAUGUGCCAUUAUAGCACUGAUGUCCGUUUUUCAUUCCCUUGCAUCUUCUACUAUUUUCUGUUUCAUUCCUGGACAGCCUAACCUGUUAAAUGCAGAAUAGUUGCCCUGUGCUUGCAGAUCAUACACCUAGUUACUUGGUUGUAUGGCUAUAUUGGUUGAAUCAUUUGUCUAUGCUCAACUGCUUCGGUGCUCUGCAUGAUUUACAUUUUACAGUAAAUCAAAAGAAAAAUAUCUCUUAUCAUUGUUACUGAACUUUAUCUUUUUGUAAGAUUAUUAGGCAAUUAUAUAGAAUUGGAAAGAGAAUAUAAAGAGAAAAGGACGCUGAUGUAUGCUCAUUUUCAAUAUAUUUUUUCUCCAUAUCCGAUGCAUCUGAUAUCCAAUGAUGUGUUUAAUGAUAGCAAAGAUUAAUUGACUUUCCAAUCUACAGUUCACUGAUUUAUUACCAACAUCUAUGGAGUUUUUGUUUUUAUCAUUACAGGCACAGCCGCAGAUCAAGAUGACAAAAUUAGUCAACUGUUCAUUAAGACGAGAACUUACAAGCAAAAUAUAUGAAGCCUGUUCCCUAGAUAAGGAAGUUUGUGAUGUUAUUUGUGCUGAAGGAAGGAGGAUUUUAUAUCACUUUCUGCAGAUCUGUUAGUGCAAAUUUUCAGUUUGGGGUAUAAAGAGCAGUCUACGAUCAUUACAAGAGCCCCCAGCCCAAUAUGCCCUUCCUCUGGUUAGGGCAAGUGUGAAUGCGAUUGCUUGGACUUCUAUAAUGGGGUCCCAACCAUGCUUGUGCAGAGUUUUGGAGAGGCAUAUGACAAGUUUAACUGCCAUUGCUCGGACUCCACAGAGCAUUAGGCACAUUUGCUUGCUUGGUUUGAUGCUCAGGCCCUCAUUUGGAGCUUUCCUAUGAUGACUGGUUGUGGAAAUCAUAUCCAGUAAUGUUCUGGUGGUGAAAUCGAACAUCUGGGAUGACCGGGCUGCUCAACCUAGUUGAAGGGCAUUGCAGCCUCUGAAAGUUUGAGAUGAUAUAAUGUUUCUAGCAUAUUAGCUGGUAGAUCCUUGCUUGAUCUAGGUGAACUUGCAUUCAUUCAUCUUGGCUAAGUGCAGUACUUAUAUGUGUUGCUCACUCAAGUCCUUGUGAUGCUUGCAUGUGGUUAUAUUAUUUACAUGCCAAAGUAGCAUCCUCUGUAUAUUUGAAGAGAUGAUUGUAUACAAAUUAGUGAAGCCUGCUGUGGAACUCAAGAAAGUGAAUACUCAACUGUUCCUUCCAACCAACCAUGGGGCAGAAUUCUGAUGGCAAGACUUCAGUGAAGGUUUGCUUUACAGCUUUGGUAGGUGAAGCACUGCUUUCAGUUAGUUAGUAGCUGCUUUCUCAGCUUCAUUUAGCUACUGUUGUAGAGGGGAUUUGAUCCAUGCAGACAAAAAAUUCCCUGCAUCUUUUGUUUUUCUAUUAGGAGAUCCUGCUGAUACUGCAAUUUGAUGCAAUAUCCUCAGGUAGGUUUCAUGCAUGAAGAAUUAAAAUCUCUGUUUCAGUUAACAAAAGAAACCAUUUCAAAGAUUGCCUUCAGGAAUUUCAAUAUAUUCUCAAUUUUUUUCUCUGUUC